GCAGUCGAGCGGAAAGGCCCUUCGGGGUACUCGAGCGGCGAACGGGUGAGUAACACGUGAGCAACCUGCCCUAGGCUUUGGGAUAACCCUCGGAAACGGGGGCUAAUACCGGAUAUUCACUUGCGGACGCAUGUUUGUGGGUGGAAAGUUUUUCGGCUUGGGAUGGGCUCGCGGCCUAUCAGCUUGUUGGUGGGGUGAUGGCCUACCAAGGCGACGACGGGUAGCCGGCCUGAGAGGGCGACCGGCCACACUGGGACUGAGACACGGCCCAGACUCCUACGGGAGGCAGCAGUGGGGAAUAUUGCACAAUGGGCGGAAGCCUGAUGCAGCGACGCCGCGUGAGGGAUGACGGCCUUCGGGUUGUAAACCUCUUUCAGCAGGGACGAAGCGCAAGUGACGGUACCUGCAGAAGAAGCGCCGGCCAACUACGUGCCAGCAGCCGCGGUAAGACGUAGGGCGCGAGCGUUGUCCGGAUUUAUUGGGCGUAAAGAGCUCGUAGGCGGCUUGUCGCGUCGACUGUGAAAACCCACGGCUCAACUGUGGGCUUGCAGUCGAUACGGGCAGGCUAGAGUUCGGUAGGGGAGACUGGAAUUCCUGGUGUAGCGGUGAAAUGCGCAGAUAUCAGGAGGAACACCGGUGGCGAAGGCGGGUCUCUGGGCCGAUACUGACGCUGAGGAGCGAAAGCGUGGGGAGCGAACAGGAUUAGAUACCCUGGUAGUCCACGCUGUAAACGUUGGGCGCUAGGUGUGGGGGGCCUCUCCGGUUCUCUGUGCCGCAGCUAACGCAUUAAGCGCCCCGCC
Molecule: ribosomal RNA, 800 nt
Filed under: Micromonospora lutea
Lineage: Bacteria; Bacillati; Actinomycetota; Actinomycetes; Micromonosporales; Micromonosporaceae
Description: bacterial SSU rRNA
Rfam family: Bacterial small subunit ribosomal RNA
Source: RNAcentral